UAUGUCCUGUUUCAAAUAUAUAUAUGAAUAAUUGUACGAUUAUACAAUUGUGUUCAUAGCUAGAGUACGUAAGGAAAAGGAAAGGUUAACCGCUAUCAAA
RNAcentral lists this ribosomal RNA (100 nucleotides) under Plasmodium reichenowi. Lineage: Eukaryota; Apicomplexa; Aconoidasida; Haemosporida; Plasmodiidae. The record is from RNAcentral.